GUCCAAUACAGAGGCCGCUGGCCACUGUGGCUCCUGGCUCCUUACGUGCGGCUCUCCUGAACUGAGACACUGGAUUCUGAAGACUUCUAUGAAGUUGUCUGUGAGGUGGGACCACGUGAUGUGCCCUGCACCUCUCUUCCCAGUUCUGCGUGCAGUGAUAGCACGCACGACCCUGAAUCAGCCACAGUGGGGGAAAGCCAGCCGCUGUGUCACGAAGCAGCCCCAUGGAGAAGACCACGUGGGGAGGAACCGAGGCCUGCCGAUACCCAUGUGAGUGAGCUUGGAAAGGGAUUGUCCUCCUGCCCACUCUGUAAUCAUGUGAGUGAGC
Molecule: long non-coding RNA, 328 nt
Organism: Cervus elaphus (red deer)
Lineage: Eukaryota; Metazoa; Chordata; Mammalia; Artiodactyla; Cervidae
Exons: 3
Source: RefSeq, a predicted model, not a curated record